RNAcentral lists this ribosomal RNA (512 nucleotides) under uncultured bacterium. RNAcentral describes it as "bacterial SSU rRNA". It matches the Rfam family "Bacterial small subunit ribosomal RNA", at positions 791 to 1304 of the family's 1533-position model. The record is from RNAcentral.
UAGUCCACGCCGUAAACGAUGAUUACUCGUUGCAUGCAAUACACCGUAUGUGACUUAGCGAAAGCAUUAAGUAAUCCACCUGGGGAGUACGUUGGCAACAAUGAAACUCAAAGGAAUUGACGGGGGCCCGCACAAGCGGAGGAACAUGUGGUUUAAUUCGAUGAUACGCGAGGAACCUUACCUGGACUUAAAUGUAGCGUGACCGCAGCCGAAAGGUUGUUUCUCUUCGGAGCAGGUUACAAGGUGCUGCAUGGCUGUCGUCAGCUCGUGCCGUGUAGGUGUCGGGUUAAGUCCCAUAACGAGCGCAACCCCUAUUGUUAGUUGCUAACAGGUUAAGCUGAGGACUCUAGCGAGACUGCCACCGUAAGGUGAGAGGAAGGUGGGGAUGACGUCAAGUCAGCACGGCCCUUACGUCCAGGGCUACACACGUGUUACAAUGGACGGUACAGAGAGCAAGCUACUUGGUGACAAGAUGCGAANCUUUUAAAGCCGGUCUUAGUUCGGAUCGAAGU